UACACCUUAUGCAAGACGCAGUACUUUUAUCUGCUUCUCUGCAUCCGCAACUGCAAUCUCGGCAAGAUGUGACGAUGGGGUUGUAAAAUGAUGAGAGGGAAACACCGCAUACAGAUCUGAUACCAAUGAGGUUUGGGAUAAGUGGCAAGUAGCAUAGACCCUUUAAACAUAUGACAGAAGUUGGAUUUUUGGCUAUGUGAUUGUUUAUGGUCAAAGCUGACACAUUUUUUCUCAAUAAAUUGGUAACAAGAUUGCUUCUUAAUCUCCUAUUAAAAAUAUGAUCACAUUCUAAUUUUUUCAGAAGUAUGAUUAUGUUAUGAUGUGCUGUUAUUAUUGUAUUAUAGCUCACUAGUAGGCUUGGAACUUGGAUUAUUACUCCAGGCACCAUCUCUUGAUAUCUUUCAGCUAAGCUGGGCUCCUUUUUCUUGUUGCCUCAUAUUAAAUCGAUAGAGAAAGUUGUGUCUAAUUUGUCAUCAAAUUCUCAAAUCAAACAUUGACAUGUGAUGUGAAUGCUUUUUCCAGCAUUAACCAACCUCCUAUACGGAUGUUGUAGUGCGUUUUAUUUUAAAAUGUUCGCAAAUCAAAGCUGAUUUAAGACCUUGGACAAUAAUAUAAGAAACUUGAUAUUAAGUUA
This is a long non-coding RNA of Vigna radiata var. radiata (mung bean), 634 nucleotides long. RefSeq lists it as uncharacterized. Lineage: Eukaryota; Viridiplantae; Streptophyta; Magnoliopsida; Fabales; Fabaceae. The record is from RefSeq and is a predicted model, not a curated record. The transcript has 2 exons.